UAGCUGAUUGGCUCCUCUGCGGUGAUGCUCAUUGGGCUGUUUCCCUGCCCUUUCAGACCACGGAGCUGCUCAUUGGGGGACUUUUUUGGCUCCGCCCACGUGACCCAGCCAAUCGGCCUCAAGAGCAGGAGGAUUGUGGGAGGUGGAGAGAAGCUUGUGUGGGAGAGAGAGGCUUUUGGAAAGCCAGUGGUGGCAGUUGAGGCUCUGAGGGUUUUUCCUGAGAGGCUGUUUUGUUUGGCGUGUGUGGUUCUAAAAAUAAAGUUAGUUUCUUUUGACAAGUGGCUCCUGAUUGUGCCCAGCCAGACUGCGGCAUAUGACUUUGUAAUUAAGGCAAAGGUAAUUACCUUUAUGAUGAGGUUUGGAAGAAUGAGGAAAGCCCUGACCACACCACCACCCACUGUGAAAAUAUACACACAUCCCAGUGCACUGUCACACUGACCCUGAAAUGCCCUCAUAAUACAUUCUCUAUCCUAGGCUAACAGUUUCAUAUUUUAAAAUACAAAUGAUUUUCGAGAAUUAUUGUAUUAAGUGGUCUAUUAGAGCAUAACACUUUAAUAGGAAAUUCUCUGAAUAUUUUUUCCUGGGAGUGAGAAUAAUUGGAGUUUUAAUGGAAGUCUAGGAAGGAAGAAAUAAUCUUGAUCUGGGGCACAAUCCCAGGAGAAGUUUAACUAAAGAGCAAAUUCUGGACAGCCAAGAAGCUGCAAAGGGAUACAGAAUGCCUGGGAAGUAUGAUGGAGAAGCUGCCCAGUAUUGAAGAAAAGAAAAAUGGAGAACAAAGGCAAGGCAAACCCAACAUGUUUAGUACAGUUGCCUAUCUAAGACGAGAGACCUGAACACUACACCGUCUUCCAUCAUUUAGUGACCACCUAUAUGUGCUAGACAUUUUCCUAAUUGCUGAUCAUAAAAAGUGUAAUGUGAUAUUCUUGUCCUUAAAGAGUUUGCAUUCUAAGUGGACAGAGAGGUUAAAUAAAUAGAUGGAAAUAUGUUUUCAAGUUGUGAUUAAGUGCAAUGAAGAACAUAAGACAUACAGUUUUUAUAUUUUUUAUUUUCUGCUUUGAAAUUUGACUACCCUGCAAAAUCUGGUAAAACAGAUAAAUUGGCAAGGGCUGCAAUCUUUAUAAUCUGUAUAAUCAACUGCUGUUGACUCAGGUGCUAUAUAAGCAAGUUUCUAGAGCUAAUCCUAAAACACCCUCGGGACUCUUUGAAAUUCUGUAGACUCCACAUUCUGAAAACUGAGGAGUUCCUUGGAGCUGAUUCUAAUAAUUAAAUAGGUAAGGCUAACUUCUGCCCUUGUGGUUUGAUUUUAAGACCUACCUUCUAUUUGUUAUUUCUACUGCCAGCACAAUGCCCACCUUCCUGCUACUUUUUCAGAAAUUCCAGUAUUGAGAAUUCUAAUAGGCUGGUCUAAGGAAAAGGAAAAAGAAACAUGUUUGGUCAUGAAGCAGCUGGUGGCAAGAAGGAAAGAGAGGCAUAAGGAAUAGGCCCAGAGUCCUGGGGAAAAAGUUAUAAGAACACUGAUGGUUUCCACCUAGGAGAGUGAACUCACACCAGUUCACAGUAACUCAUGUGAAGCAUAACUCAGGGAGAAUGGGGAACAGAAUACCUCCUAAACUUAAGGAAAUUUAUGCACAAAUCUGCAAAACAAGCCCUUGAGGUGCUGUUGCUCAGUGUUAAAGAGGGAAUGUAAACAUGCACUAUGAUAGAGUGCAUCACAGUCCUGAAAUUUCUUUUAGGAAAGCAUGUGAUUAUGAAAGCCAUUGGAAAUAGGAGGUCAGGUAGAUAGUUUAUGUUACUUUUAUAUUACAAACAAAAUCAUACUAUUCUUAAUACUGAACGACAGUGCAAAAUGUAUUUAUGCCUUGUUUUCACAUGCCUGCUAAUGAAA
This 1885-nucleotide long non-coding RNA is filed under the name Marmota monax (woodchuck). Lineage: Eukaryota; Metazoa; Chordata; Mammalia; Rodentia; Sciuridae. The record is from RNAcentral.